GGACUUUAAUAUCACCAACCAUUCCCAUGUUAUUAUGGUGUAUCCAUAUAAAUGGCCCACCCUGUACAAUAUUUUAAUUGGCUGCACUUUUCAAAAGUCAGCACUGCAGGAUAGAUUUCUUUGGCAUUUUAUCUAAUGGCUAUGAAAAUAAGUAGCAGAGUAGCAGACAUUUAUCUUCCCUGGUUCCAUUGUUACUCAUCUAGCAGGUCCUUUUAUAAUUUAAUUGAACAAUUCUCCUCAGUCUCCAUCUCAUGGGGUGUUCCCCAGGGGUCCGUUCUUGGUCCCAUUUUAUUCUCUAAAUAAUUUAUACGGUCCUUUUGGGAUCAGAUGAUCUGUAAAUACAGUCUUAAUUUGCACAGUUAUACACACAGUUGCAUGUUCUGCUAAAGGGCAGUUGUGCUUUCAUGUGUGUAAUUCACCUUAGUCUGAGAUUUUCAACAAACUGCACUGCUCUUUAAAAUUUCCCCAAAGUAUGCUGUUAAGAAGAAAAAGGAAAAGAAUAAGUCUUAACCUCCUAGGACCUGGCGUCCACAUGUGGACAUCACAUUUGGGGUUAUUUAGACCAAAAUACUUAAUUUUGCUCUACAAGGGCCUGAUAUCCACUUACAAGGACAUUAUACUGCUACUGUUCUAUUGAAAUUUUAAACGGAUAUCCUCAUAUGUGGCUCUCAUUUUGUUAGAAACAAAAAUCAAGUAAAAAAAAAUAAAUCUGUUAAUUCUUUGUUUUUACAUUCAUCUGGUCCCAAUCAGCCCAAAUAUCAAAGAGAAAUUAAAAAUGCAUGCCGUGGAAGAGUUCGGGUCUUAGGAGGUUAAAGUGGGCCACAUCUUAGUAAGGGUAGUUUGUUUAUGACUUAAGUUUCACUAGUCGGUCCUGAGUUAUUUUUGCUAUGUUUCAGAGUUUUCUUGUGAUCCAGCUUUAGGUUCUUAACUUUUAGGUUCUCUUUGUGUCUUUGUCCUCUUGCUCCCUCUGUGUGUGUGUGUCCUUGUGUCUUGUCUCCCUUUUCUUUUUUUCAUGUUCCUUUCCUUGUGUGUCAUUCCAUGUCCCCCAUGUUUGUUGUGUGGAUUUAUGUAUGUUCUCCGCAGGUCGCCUUGUCUCUCUCUCGGUCUUUCUCUCUCUCUCUUUCAGGUGCGCAUGCAUGAGCAUCUGUUGGAGGUGUGGGGAGGAGAACGAGUGUGAGGGUUCCUAAGGGUUUGAACUUUGCUUUCGCAGUGAUGAUUCACUUUUUGUUACGUUUUCACAACUUUCUUUCACUGGUGUUUCUGUGUUGUUCUUUUUGGCAGAACAGAGCGUAUGGCUCGGUGGGAUGGCCUGAAGGAAUCAUGGGUCUGAAGCUUUCAGAGCCUCUCCCGUGGGCAUACCAUUAAAAUAUUGGUUGGCGCCAAUUUUUUGGUUGUGGCUGUUUUUGGUUUUGGUUGGUUUGUCUAUAUGAGAAGUUGUCAGAUGUAAACAGAAUUGUGACAAUCUUUUGGGGAAAGGUUUAUAAACCAACCACAUUUAAUGAGAAACCCAUUCACAAAAAGAUAAACAGCCCAAGAUAUCUUAAGAAAGAUAAUGGGUAUUUCAACAAUGUACAAAGGUUUUCCAUAUUUAUUAGAUCUACUGACUUGUACAUCACAAUCAAUUUACAAUUCAUAGAUCAAAGUGGAUCUAUAAAGGCACAAAUACUUCACCCACACUCUGAUUUCGACAUUAAACAAACAAUGUGACUGGCAAAAAUAGAAACUUUUAUUUUACAUUUUAUUUAACAUUUACAUUUAUAUGAUUUGAGGGGGCCCAAAUUGUUGCACUGUUUGCUAAAAAAUGUGCAUGAAACUGUAUCUGACCUAGUCAUGCUGAGUUUGGGUACAUUUGGAAAUUUAAGCGCAUUUUUGGAUCAGUGAUCAUCAUCAGUAAAAAAAAAAAAAGAAAAAAAGAAAAAGAAGUUUAAUAAUUGUCUUUUCUUAAAGAAGUGAGAACUGUGGCAUUUCAGGGGGAGACUUAGGAAAAUUUGUUAUUUUGCAAAAACAUUAAAUUUUGACAUAUAUAGGAACCAGGUUGAUCCUGCCUGCUGUGAAUGUUUUAAUGCAGUUCAAUUCAAUUCAAUUCAAUUUUAUUUAUACAGCGCCAAAUCACAACAACAGUCGCCUCAAGGUAGACUCUACAAUAAUAGAUACAGAGAAAACCCCAACAAUCAUAUGACCCCCUAUGAGCAAGCACUUUGGUGACAGUGGGAAGGAAAAACUCCCCUUUAACAGGAAGAAACCUCCGGCAGAACCAGGCUCACGGGGGGGGGGGGGGGGGCAUCUGCCAUCAGAGAUUAAUAUAUGAUUCAGUGCACAGAGGACUAUAAACACAUAGUGAGUGAGAAAGGUGACUGAAGAAAAAAUACUCAAUGCG
This is a long non-coding RNA of Astatotilapia calliptera (eastern happy), 2377 nucleotides long. Lineage: Eukaryota; Metazoa; Chordata; Actinopteri; Cichliformes; Cichlidae. The record is from Ensembl.